This 251-nucleotide ribosomal RNA is filed under the name uncultured prokaryote. RNAcentral's name for it is "partial 16S rRNA". It matches the Rfam family "Bacterial small subunit ribosomal RNA", at positions 525 to 775 of the family's 1533-position model. The record is from RNAcentral.
ACGUAGGGAGCAAGCGUUGUCAGGAAUUACAGGGCGUAAAGGGCGCGUAGGUGGGAUAUUAAGUUAGGUGUGAAAACUCCGGGCUCAACUUGGAGACUGCACUUAAAACUGGUAUUCUUGAGGACAGGAGAGGAAAGUGGAAUUCCUAGAGUAGCGGUGAAAUGCGUAGAUAUUAGGAGGAUCACCAGUGGCGAAGGCGACUUUCUGGACUGUAACUGACGCUGAGGCGCGAAAGCGUGGGGAGUGAACUG